CAACCAAGUUAAGCAACUUGUAUUUAUUCAUGGAGAUAAGGAUUAAUAUAUAUACCUGUGAGUUUUACUGGCAAAUCACACCGAAUCUCAGUUGGAAAAUUGAUUAUUUAUUUCUGAGCUUAAUAUUAUCACUGAAAAACAAAAACAAAAUGCGCUUCGCAAUUGUUUGUCUAAUGGCUGCUAUGCUUGCCUGUAUAUCAAUCGAAGCGACGAAUCAAGAUAUACAGGAGGAAGGUAGGAAUACCAAUGACGUGAAUAGCGACAAUAGAGCCCAUCAAACUACCAAUAACAUGGCGAACCUGAAUGCAUGUAAUCUGAAUACUGAUGGUCCCGCAAUAAAUGAUAUGUCUGUGAGUCAAGGGGCGAAUACGGGAGCAGUAAUGGCGCCCGACGUGACCGCAGAAGGUGAAAACGUUGGAAGCGCAGGUCAGAACUUAUCCUAAUGAUUGCUGAGGGAAUCAUUAAGUUCUCACUGCUUUUGAUAAUUGCAAAGCUAUCCUGGAAAUCCGACGAAUUCAAACUUAUUUAAAGGAAUCUGUAGUAUGAAUAUCUCAAAUAAUAUUAUAUUAUCUUAUGUUCCAAAUUAUUGAGUGAUCAAUAUGUGUAAACUUCAUUUAUUAAAUAAAAAACUCUAUGGAAAAAUAUAA
Long non-coding RNA from Microplitis mediator, 647 nucleotides. RefSeq lists it as uncharacterized. The record is from RefSeq and is a predicted model, not a curated record. The transcript has 3 exons. Lineage: Eukaryota; Metazoa; Arthropoda; Insecta; Hymenoptera; Braconidae.